CUUCCCACUAGAUAUCUACCUUACGUUUGGUAGUGUAUAUAUUGUCCAUGCCUCUCUCUCGCUUCGUCACAGCUUACCCUUCCCCCUCCCCAUAUCCUCAAGUCCAUUCUCUAGUAGGUCUGUGUCUUUAUUCCCGUCUUACCCCUAGGUUCUUCAUGACAUUUUUUUUUUCUUAGAUUCCAUAUAUAUGUGUUAGCAUACGGUAUUUGUCUUUCUCUUUCUGACUUACUUCACUCUGUAUGACAGACUCUAGGUCCAUCCACCUCACUGCAAAUAACUCAGUUUCGUUUCUUUUUAUGGCUGAGUAAUAUUCCAUUGUAUAUAUGUGCCACAUCUUUUUUAUUUUUAAGUUUAGAAUUUUAUUUCCUUUGUGUUUUGGGCUUAGGGCUUUUUUUUGCAUUUUUUAAAAUUUAAUUUUUAUUUUAUAUUGGGGUAUAGUUGAUUUACAAUGUUGUGUUAAUUUCAGGUGUACAGCAAAGUGAUUCAGUUAUACAUACACAUUUAUCCAUUCUUUUUCAGAUUCUUUUCUCGUAUAGGUUAUUACAGAAUAUUGAGUAGAGUUCCCUGUGCUAUACAGUAGAUCCUUCCCGGCUAUCUAUUUUAUAUAUAGUAGUGUGUAAAUGUUAAUCCCAAACUUCUAAUUUAUCCCUCCCCCACACACCUUUCCCCUUUGGCAACCAUAAGUUUGUUUCGAAGUCUGUGAGUCUGCUACUGGUUUGUAAAUAAGUUCAUUUAUAUCAUCUUUUUAGAUUCCACGUAUAAAUGAUAUCAUAUCAUAUGAUAUUUCUCUUUCUGUGUCUGACUUAUUUCACUUAAUAUGAUAAUCUCUAGGUCCGUCCAUGUUGCUCUUUCAUAGCUCUAGGAUCAUCAUCCUCUCCCUUAAAUGAGCAGAAUAUCAGUUUCCUUUUAGUUUAACCCUCUGCGUACAUUUUCCUUUCUUUUUUUUUUUAACAUCUUUAUUGGAGUAUAAUUGCUUUACAAUGGCGUGUUAGUUUCUGCUUUAUAACAAAGUGAAGCAGUUAUACAUAUACAUAUGUUCCCAUAUCUCUUCCCUCUUGCGUCUCCCUCCCUCCCACCCUCCCUAUCCCACCCCUCUAGGUGGUUACAAAGCACCAAGCUGAUCUCCCUGUGCUAUGCGGCUGCUUCCCACUAGCUAUCUAUUUUACGUUUGGUAGUGUAUAUAUGUCCAUGCCACCCUCUCACUUUGUCACAGCUUACCCUUCCCCCUCCCCACAUCCUCAAGUCCAUUCCCCAGUAGGUCUGUGUCUUUAUUCCUGUCUUACCCCUAAGUUCUUCAUGACAUUUUUUUUUCUUAGAUUCCAUAUAUAUGUGUUAGCAUACGGUAUUUGUCUUUCUCUUUCUGACUUACUUCACUCUGUAUGACAGACUCUAGGUCCAUCCACCUCACUACAAAUAACUCAAUUUCGUUUAUUUUUAUGGCUGAGUAAUAUUCCAUUGUAUAUAUGUGCCACAUCUUCUUUAUCCAUUCAUCUGUCGGUGGACACUUAGGUUGCUUCCAUCUUCUGGCUAUUGUAAAUAGAGCUGCAAUGAACAUUUUGGUACAUGACUCUUUUUGAAUUAUGGUUUUCUCAGGGUAUAUGCCCAGUAGUGGGAUUGCUGGGUCAUAUGGUAGUUCUAUUUGUAGUUUUUUAAUGAACUUCCAUACUGUUCUCCAGUGGCUAUACUAAUUCACAUUCCCACCAGCAGUGCAAGAGUGUUCCCUUUUCUCCACACCCUCUCCAGCAUUUAUUGUUUGUAGAUUUUUUGAUGAUGGCCAUUCUGACCGGUGUGAUAUGAUAUCUCAUUGUAGUUUUGAUUUGCAUUUCUCUAAUGAUUAAUGAUGUUGAGCAUUCUUUCGUGUGUUUGUUGGCAAUCUGUAUAUCUUCUUUGGAGAAAUGGAAUUAAGUGGUUAGGUGACUGAACAAUGUAUUGUUUUACAGCCUCAAACACUUUUUCUCCAUACCAUUUUUAUGUAUGUCUGGAUUGAAGAUGAUUUCUCUUAUAUGAGUUUGGAACUUUUCAUCCUUAAAUUUUGAGGUGGGAGAAGUUCCAUUCCCGGUAAUGGAGAAGUACCUUGUAUCAGACUAAGUCUUCUUCAGAAAAAGUAAUUAUAAACUCUAAACAAAAUAUGUGAAAACAGUUGUUUGAAGUCACUGAAGAGCUACCAGAAUAGAUGGAAAUGAGAGAGGAUUUGACUCUAAAAAAUAAGGAAAAGAUAUAAAAUGUGGGUGAGAGCCACAGUUAUGUGGCUUUUCUUCUGAGGGUAUUAUUAUCCCCCAGUAUGCACAAGGCAAAGUGACUGAAACUCAAAUAGAAAGCUGUACUCAUUGCCUGAAGAGUUUGGGCUUGACAAAACAACUGGAAAUUGAAAGGGAAAAUCCUGGAAGAGGGGAACAACAGAGCCUGUGCAUAAACACCCCUCACAUACUUGGUUGCCUCUGAAUUGUACUUGGAUGAGUGAGACUUUCAGGACCCAAGGAGGAAAUAACCGCUGGAAGGCUGACAUUGCUGAUCCGAGAUUUCAGCUGCUGCUCAACACAGGGGAGACAGAUUUCAUACCUAGUUAGAGACCUGCCAGCUUGGAGGGUAUGAUAAAGACCAAAAGCUUUUCAUUGAAACCCUAGAAGGACUGCAGUUUAGAAUUAAAGGUUAUAUCCCCAAAGGGCAUUACCCUAGGACUAAGGGCAGUACCAAAAUAGACCUGUCCCAGCAAAGCAUAAAAUAAAGCCUUCAAGGUUAUCCUUCAGUAACUUAACUGCCUGGUGGAACAAAAGCCACUCUUCAGAGAAAGCUAAUGGAAGUACAGAAAAGAAGAUUGAAAAGAAAGUAAAUAGAAGUUCAGUGACUUGUGAGGUAAUAUCAAGAAAUCUAACAUAUGUAUAAUUGGAGUUCCAGAAGAAGAAGGGAGAGGGGGAGGAGGAGGAAAGGGGAGAGUAGGGCAGAAAAAAUAUUUGAAGGAAUAUUAGCUGAAAUUUUGCCAAAGUUGAUGACAAACAGCAACCCACCAGAUCUUGGAAACUCCAUGAAUUCCAAGCAGUAUAAACACAAGGAAGAACACACCUAGGCACAUCAUGGUCAAACUGCUAAAAAAAACAAGACAAAGAGAAAAUCCUUAGAGCAGUCAGAGGGGGAAACACAUAUACACACAUUAUCAGAAUGACAGCCAACUUUUAUCAGAAACAGUGGAGGCCAGGAGUUAAUGUAAUGACAUCUCUGCAGUCCUGAACAAAGAAAACUACAUCCUAGACUCUAUAUCCAGUUUAUAUAAAUAUAUAUAUAUGUAAAAUAAAGGCAUUGUCAGAUUAAAAAAAACAAAAACAGAAAUUUUGUUACUAGAUGACUCACAAUAAAAGAAAUACUAAAAGAAGUAAUUCAGGCCAAAGGAAAUUGAUACCAGAUGCAAAUUUAAUUCUAUAGGAAGGGAGGAAGGGUGGGCAUAGGAAAUGAUAAAUAUGUCACUAAAUCUAAAAAAUUAUCUUUCUGUGUCAGUUUUUUAAAGUAAAUUGAUACUUGAAACCAAAAAUAAUAACAGUGUAUUGUUUGUAGCAUAUACAGAAGUGAAAUAUAUGGCAGCAAAUAUGCCAUAUUUGAAUGUUUGAAAUUUGAAAUUGAAAGUUUCAAUUUGAAACUUUGAAAGUUGAAACUUUCAAAUUGAAAGUUGAAUUUGAAAGUUUCUUGCAUUAUAAUUUAAAGUGAUAUAAUAUUAAUGCCAGAUACACUGUAAUAAAUUCAGGGUGUAUAUUAUAAUCUCUAAAACAAGCACUAAAGAAAGGGAGGGAAGGAUGGAGGAAGAAGAAGGGGAUAAAAGCUAAAAAAAAAGAAAAAAGAAAACGAUUAAAAGAAGACAGAAAGGAGAAACAAACAGAAAUAAAGUCUACUUAAACCCAGUUAUAUCAAUAAAUAUAUUGAAUAUAAAUGAACUAAACACUAAUGACAGAGAUUGUCACAUUGGAUAAAAAUGCAAGACUCAACUAUAGUUGUAGCCCUCCAAAAAAAAAAAAAAGUCUUGUGUAAGAAUGCUUAUAGCAGCUUUAUUCAUAAUUGCCAAAACUGAAAACACCUAAAUGGGACUAGUUGUGUUCCACGACUGCAGAAUUCAUAUUCUUUUCAAAUGUUCAAGUAAUACACGUGAAUCACAGCUAAACUUUAUUUCAUCAUUCAGACUAAUGAGGUGGAUUGGGGCACCCUCAUUUUUAUAAGUCUGGAAAUGAGGCUCAGAGGAAGACGGGUCUUGUUCAAGAUGGCAGUCAUGAUGAAAGAUGGGAUAUCUCUCACCAUGGAGGUAAACAGUGAACAUCUGUUCAACUUUAAAAUCCAGGUACUUUCUACUCAAGAGCUCAAAGUGAGUUAGCUUGGGUCUUAGAUCUAGAAGCCACAUCUCCUGAGUCCCAGUCAAGAGCUAGAAAUCUAUAUCAUCUUCUCAUUACAUUCUAAUAGAAAUUUCUGUAAAAAUCCCGUUUGCUCACUGUUGUCAGUCCAACCAGUGGAAGAUCUGUUUUGUUGGUUAAGUGGGUAAUAAAACCCUUUCCUAAAGGAAAGCCUCACCUUUCUUAUUUUCCCAUAAUUUUAGGUUUAUGCUUACUAAGGAGGAAGCCAGGGCAAGGAGACAGCCAAGGACAUUUUAAUUGAGUCAAGUGGGACAUGCUUUUAAUCAGGUCUUAGUGUCUAGCUUCUGGAAAGUGCAUUGAGAUCUCUUAAUUAUCUAACCAAAUCUGCAUUUCAAUUUGGUACUCUUGAGUGUUUAGAGAGUCACUGAUAAACUAACCAGCUUCCCUGCGGAGAAUAACUGAAGCCUCUGGAGGAAAACAGUCCUAAAUUAGACAGAAGAAGUAUGAGAUCACAAUAAUGUGAGCAAAAGGAGUUAUUGAUCAGAUGGUUCAGAAAUCUAGAUCAUCUUAAAAACUUGUUUGUUCUAUUAUUCCUUUUGAGUAUGUAGUGAACACUUGCUGAUUGCUUCUCCUGAAGCCACUUCCCCCUUUCUCCAUCCUAGCAGUGCCUUAAUUUCUUUAAGACAUCUGUGUGGUUCUGGGGAUGCUGGCUUCAUCCACCCUUAAGGUUUGGCCAGUCAGCAAUUUCCGUCCCCCUGGCCACCAUGAUUAUUUUGGAUUGGGCAUGCAACCUAAGAGGUGCAGUCUAAGUAAACUCUAGUUGCUGUGGUGUGUGGGUGUGAUCUGAUUACAGAAAGUGACUACCAGUCCUGUACUCUGACCCUAGACUUAUACAGGGGUUCGCACUGUUGUAGAUAUGCACUUGGAGUGAAAAGGGAGAAAGAACCAGUGCCUCCCUGUCAGGGCUGCUGUGAAGAUUGCAUGGGAGCUCAUAAAGCACCUUGCAGAAAGUCUGGCAUAAAAUAUAAAUUCAUGCUUUAAGGACUUUUUGAAUUACCAAUGACAGAAACUACCUGAGACAAACAAGCAAAAAGCUAGGAAUGUAUUGGAAAUGUACUAAGGAAGCUCAGAAAGUUGAAGGAAAUGUUCUAGAUACCUGGGUAACUCUGAGGGCUUUAUACACCAGAAUCAGAUUUCAGUGCCCCCAGGGCUCUCCUUGGGUCUCAUCACUGCUUGUCUGUGGUUGAAUUUCUUUUCUCUUGGUGAUAGGAAAGAAGGUCACCUGCAGCCUCCAGUCCUCCUGUCUCUAUGACCCAAAAGGCAAGGUUCCUACUCCUGAAACUCCAAAUUAAAAAAUCUUGGGGAAGGAUACUAACGGCUUGGGUCAUAGUUCCACCUCUGGCUCAAGGGCUGCGGCCAGGGAUUGGAGAACUUGGUUGGUCAGAUCCGGGCCACACAUGCUCCACCUGAGACUUGCCUGGUAGACGGGGAGGGGUAUGAGUGGCAGUGCCACCCAGGAUCAUGUCUGCAUGACAUGAAUAACAAUUUUCCCCAAAUGGUGCCGAAUAGUAAAACAAGUGUCCGUAGUUAUUUGGUAUUGCUUUUCUUCCUAAGCAGAUUUAUUCUCCUUCUCUUUCUAAUCAGGGUGGGGAGCAGGAAAUAGGAAUGUAGGGGGGAAGGUUAAGUGUGAAUCGUAUCGUUCACUUACUAUGUAGUAAGUAACUUUUGCGUGUAUUAGCCUAUUACCUCUCAUUUCAUCUUUACUAUAAUACUGUGAGGUAGAUAAUAUUGCCAUUUCAGCCAGAAACAAGCUCAGGCUAAGAAACUAACCCAGGACCACCAGAUAGCCAAGUGAUGGAGCCAGGAGCCAAAGCAGGGUCCACUUGUCUCCAAAGUGUCUCCAAAGUGUACCACUUGUCUCCAAAGUGUACCAUGAAGUAAGCUACACUUUCCUGGUUGGCAUGCCAUUCCUCCUUCCUCCCCUGGUCACUCCCACCAUCUGUCCCCUAUCAGAAGCCUGGAUUAGAACUUGAAACCUAGGGGGAAGUCCCUGGUGGUCCAGUAGCUAAGACUCCACACUCCCAAUGCAGGGGGCCUGUGUUCAAUCCCUGGUCGGGGAACUAAAAUCCCACAAGCCACAUGGCGUGGCCAAAAAAUAUGUUUAGAACUUGAAACCUAGGUUCUUCCAGACCUAUAAGGACAUUCUUGUCUCAUCCCAUAGUAGACAAAGGAUGUAUUCUCUCUAAAAUAAACAAAAAUGUUUGUGUGUUGACCUAAAACUGGAGAACACAUUUCUGAACACAGUGUCUUACUGAAGUAGCAAAAAAGUUGUAGCAAGAACUGGGUGGCCUGUAUUUGAAUCCCACUAACUACCAACUAGGCAACAUAUUCUGUGCUUCAGUUUAUUCAUCCAUGAACUGAGGGUAGUGAUAGAACCUAGCUCAUAGGGUUUAUUGUGAGGAUUAAAUGAGCUAAUAUAUAAAGCACUUAGAGUACCUGCAAGGACUAUAUCAGUGUUAGCUCUCUUUAUUAAAAUGGGUUAUUCAUUAUUAGUGGACUCUUUUGGUUUAGGGCCAAAACAGGCAGACUUUUCGCUUCAGGAAUCUUCAUUCUUGGGUUCACAUCUGGGUUGUACGCAUUUAGCUCUCAAAGAAACAAACCCAUCUUAGUAUAAUCUGAGGCAGAAAUAACCUACUUACGAUCCAGGGAGCACAGUUCUAAGGGGGAAAUAGUCUCCCUGCCUGUCUGGUCCUGUUCA
Orcinus orca (killer whale) is the source of this 7086-nucleotide long non-coding RNA. RefSeq lists it as uncharacterized. The transcript is spliced from 2 exons. NCBI's taxonomy places the organism in Eukaryota, Metazoa, Chordata, Mammalia, Artiodactyla, Delphinidae. The record is from RefSeq and is a predicted model, not a curated record.